GUGAGGAAUUUUCCGCAAUGGGCGAAAGCCUGACGGAGCAAUGCCGCGUGAAGGAUGAAGGCCUAUGGGUUGUAAACUUCUUUUCUCAGAAAAGAAUUAUGACGGUAUCUGAGGAAUAAGCAUCGGCUAACUCUGUUCCAGCAGCCGCGGUAAGACAGAGGAUGCAAGCGUUAUCCGGAAUGAUUGGGCGUAAAGCGUCUGUAGGUUGUUUAAAAUGUAUUCUGUCAAAGAUUAGGGCUUAACCCUAGAUAGGCAGAAUAAACUUUUAAGCUAGAGUUUGGUAGAGGCAGAGGGAAUUCCCGGUGGAGCGGUGAAAUGCGUAGAUAUCGGGAGGAACACCAAAGGCGAAGGCACUCUGCUGGGCCAAUACUAACACUGAGAGACGAAAGCGAGGGGAGCAAAUGGGAUUAGAUACCCUAGUAGUCC
This 426-nucleotide ribosomal RNA is filed under the name uncultured bacterium. RNAcentral's name for it is "partial 16S ribosomal RNA". It matches the Rfam family "Bacterial small subunit ribosomal RNA", at positions 354 to 796 of the family's 1533-position model. The record is from RNAcentral.